UACGUAGGGUGCAAGCGUUAAUCGGAAUUACUGGGCGUAAAGCGUGCGCAGGCGGUUCGGAAAGAAGGAUGUGAAAUCCCAGGGCUUAACCUUGGAAUGGCAUUCUUAACUACCGGGCUAGAGUAUGUCAGAGGGGGGUAGAAUUCCACGUGUAGCAGUGAAAUGCGUAGAGAUGUGGAGGAAUACCGAUGGCGAAGGCAGCCCCCUGGGAUAAUACUGACGCUCAUGCACGAAAGCGUGGGGAGCAAACAGG
This 253-nucleotide ribosomal RNA is filed under the name uncultured bacterium. RNAcentral's name for it is "partial 16S ribosomal RNA". It matches the Rfam family "Bacterial small subunit ribosomal RNA", at positions 524 to 776 of the family's 1533-position model. The record is from RNAcentral.